RNAcentral lists this transfer RNA (72 nucleotides) under Bos taurus (domestic cattle). It matches the Rfam family "tRNA". Rfam says of the family: Transfer RNA (tRNA) molecules are approximately 80 nucleotides in length. Their secondary structure includes four short double-helical elements and three loops (D, anti-codon, and T loops). Further hydrogen bonds mediate the characteristic L-shaped molecular structure. tRNAs have two regions of fundamental functional importance: the anti-codon, which is responsible for specific mRNA codon recognition, and the 3' end, to which the tRNAs corresponding amino acid is attached (by aminoacyl-tRNA synthetases). tRNAs cope with the degeneracy of the genetic code in two manners: having more than one tRNA (with a specific anti-codon) for a particular amino acid; and 'wobble' base-pairing, i.e. permitting non-standard base-pairing at the 3rd anti-codon position. The record is from Rfam by way of RNAcentral. RNAcentral also lists the same sequence under 3 other names. Lineage: Eukaryota; Metazoa; Chordata; Mammalia; Artiodactyla; Bovidae.
UCCCUGGUGGCUCAGACGGUAAAGCGUCUGCCUGUAAUGCAGGAGACCCAGGUUCAAUUCCUGGGUCGGGAA